AAACUAGUGCUCUAUCGACUAACAACGUUAUAAUAUAACCAAUCUUUGAUCUAUCGGUAGGAUAUGCCCUAGGAUGAAGUUCAAAGUUAAUACUAAUUUGAUUGAGGAAACCCCGACAACCUUUGGGAUCACCUCCAUAACGGAGAGGGGAUGUAGCAUGGGCAGAAGCCCCCCCUGCCGCCAUCUCCAUAUGAGGUUCCUGA
Pelobates cultripes (western spadefoot toad) is the source of this 203-nucleotide non-coding RNA. The record is from the annotation of a GenBank genome assembly. Lineage: Eukaryota; Metazoa; Chordata; Amphibia; Anura; Pelobatidae.